RNAcentral lists this ribosomal RNA (490 nucleotides) under uncultured bacterium. Its description in RNAcentral is "partial 16S ribosomal RNA". It matches the Rfam family "Bacterial small subunit ribosomal RNA", at positions 30 to 507 of the family's 1533-position model. The record is from RNAcentral.
AUUGAACGCUGGCGGCAUGCCUUACACAUGCAAGUCGAACGGCAGCAUGAUGUUUCCUCCUGGAUUCAUGGCGGGAGGCGUGCGUGAUGCUUAUACAUCUGCCCGUGCCUGGUGGUUGGGGUUCACUAGCCGACAGUUAUGCUACUUCCGUCUUCGGCCUGAGAGUGAGGGUGCUUCGCCGCACGGCCUCUCGCUUUAGGCUCGGCCGGAGUCGGAUUAGCUAGUUGGUGAGGUAAAGGCUCACCAAGGCGACGAUCAGUAGCUGGUCUGAGAGGACGAUCAGCCACACUGGAACUGAGACACGGCCCAGACUCCUACGGGAGGCAGCAGUGGGGAAUAUUGGACAAUGGGCGAAAGCCUGAUCCAGCAAUGCCGCGUGUGUGAAGAAGGCCUUCGGGUUGUAAAGCACUUUUGGCCGGAAAGAAGGGGAGCAAGUUAAUACCUGGCGGCGAUGACGGUACCAGAAGAAUAAGGACCGGCUAACUACGUG